RNAcentral lists this ribosomal RNA (289 nucleotides) under uncultured bacterium. RNAcentral describes it as "partial 16S ribosomal RNA". It matches the Rfam family "Bacterial small subunit ribosomal RNA", at positions 773 to 1060 of the family's 1533-position model. The record is from RNAcentral.
GUGGAUUAGAUACCCUGGUAGUCCACGCUGUAAACGGUGAGUGCUCGUCGUCGUGGGUAUUGACCCCUGCGGUGACCAAGUUAACACAUGAAGCACUCCGCCUGGGAAGUACGGUCGCAAGACUAAAACUCAAAGAAAUUGACGGGGGCCCGCACAAGCGGUGGAGCAUGUUGUUUAAUUCGAAGCAACGCGCAGAACCUUACCUGGAUUUGACAUCUCUGGAAUCUCUCUGAAAGGAGAGAGUGCCUUCGGGAGCCAGAAGACAGGUGCUGCACGGCAGUCGUCAGCU